GUACGCGUGCACACGCACCUACAUCCUGCCCACAGCGUUUCAUUCUUCUCCCUGCCCAGAACGCCUCUAACUGCUAUUUGGGACAACCUAGCCCCAUGGAGCCGUCUCCUCCUUGUCCCUUCCUCGCUCAUCGUUCUGGGCAUCUGCGGCCCGAACACAUGUCCUCUGCAGCCAAGCUGCCUGAGACCUGCUCUCCUUACAAAAGAAUCCGUUUCCACUAAACCCCUGAGCGUUUCACAUGUCGUCAUUAGAAAGCCUCUUGUUUACUCAUCUUCUUUAGUUUAUUUGCCCAGUCCACAAAAAUAUUUGGUCGGCGUGACUUCCUGUAACCAAAUGUGGGUGCCCUGCCGAAAGGUAUCAAGCCGCCUGUACUUUGAUGAGGCUGUGGCUGGGGCCGACCGCCAUUUUGAAACAAGCACAGACCACAAGAAUGCUGGGCAGGGCCUACCCCCUGCAACUGUAGCCAGAUUUCAGCGCCGUGGGACCCAUGAAUCACAGGCGUCUGGAGAGGCCUAUUUUAUAAUUUUGCUGUUUUUCAAUGUCAAGCCCAUCUUUUGAAGAAUUUUUAUUGGAUUUCCUGCUAGACUUCAAUGAGGAUUUUUCUUGCUUUGGCAGAAGUAUCAAGCAGAACAGGGGAAAAACUCAAUCAUCGUCUUGGAGAGUCGUGAUGCAUGACCCCCUCAGAGCUGCGGAUACCCCAAGAAUGGACAGGAAGGGCUCCAUCCCGGAGGCCCUGGUUUACCAGCCACAGCGACGGUCUCUGCUCCUGCUCCCAGGCAACAUUCAGAUCUUCAGCGUUUCUUCACAGAGAUUCUUCCCCAGAGGAAGCAGCUUGCCACCUGUUCCUCAGUUUACCCGUGUUCGCCUAAAAAAAAAAACAAGAAAAUGAGCCCUCUUCCUUCUUAACGGAGCCUGAGAUAAAGACAAGUCAGAAGAUGGGCCUGUGUUCCUGCCUCUCUCCAGCAGCCCAGGCUCAGCGAAAACAGCUUCUCUUGCGAGCUGAAACUUACCCAAACGAACCAGGAAUAAAAACUUUUAGAAGCAAACGUAACCUUUGGAGCUGCUUGCAUUUGUACCCUCUUGACGUGUGCCUACAAUGAACGUGGGAGAAGAGAGGAGAGAGCCGAGGUGUCGUGGAAGGGAUUUUAGACAUCGGAGGACUCCAGGUCUGAUCCCAGCUCCGCCAGUGGGCCAUCAGUAUGACCUGAGACCAAGGCUUCCCCUCCCAGACCCCCAUUUCUUUAUCUCAGUGGUGAAAGGUUGAACCAAAUGACCUCCUGUCCUCUGACUCUUAGGGAGCUUCGUCUUUCCGUGGCACCCAUGCUGGUCUGGACAGAACUGGAGGGUGUAGAGUUUGAGCAGCACCUGUGUUUACACUGUACAAUCUGCAGUUUACUGUAAUAAAAUCAUUUAAUACACUCAUAAUUUUUUUGGCAAGGGGUUGUGUUUAUGGUGAGCAAGACGGAGAGGGAAUGAUUGACUACCACUGAUUAAAACGAUAAAUCAAAAACAAAGGAGGGAGGACUCGAAGAGCACAAAGCCACAGGCAAAUCCAAUUUAAGUCUCAAGUUCUGUGCCUUUGUGGGAACAAUUGCGUCUGAUGAUGAGCCAGCCCUGGAGGUGCCCCCCCCAACCCACCGCCCACGGCUGGGGUGGGGGGUGGGCGAGGUGGAGGCAGGGAUUCCUACCGCUUCACUCCCCAGGGUUUUAUCCUCUUUGGGUAGAAAAAUAAGGAAAUGGUUUGACAAGAACCAGUUUUACAAGAACUAGUUUUCUUGGGCCACCGUCCUCCGAAAGGAUUCGGAGGGAGGGCCAGGAAUAAAGGAGUGCAUGCGCACAUGCUUGUGCGUGUCCAGGUAGAAUAAUUUGAGCAAGACCUAGAAGGACUUCUCAGA
Molecule: RNA transcript, 1895 nt
Organism: Felis catus (domestic cat)
Lineage: Eukaryota; Metazoa; Chordata; Mammalia; Carnivora; Felidae
Exons: 6
Source: RefSeq, a predicted model, not a curated record